This 486-nucleotide ribosomal RNA is filed under the name uncultured bacterium. RNAcentral's name for it is "partial 16S ribosomal RNA". It matches the Rfam family "Bacterial small subunit ribosomal RNA", at positions 30 to 507 of the family's 1533-position model. The record is from RNAcentral.
AUUGAACGCUGGCGGCAUGCCUUACACAUGCAAGUCGAACGGCAGCACGGGUGCUUGCACCUGGUGGCGAGUGGCGAACGGGUGAGUAACACAUCGGAACAUGUCCUGUAGUGGGGGAUAGCCCGGCGAAAGCCGGAUUAAUACCGCAUACGAUCUACGGAUGAAAGAGGGGGACCUUCGGGCCUCGCGCUAUAGGGUUGGCCGCUGGCUGAUUAGCUAGUUGUGGGGGUAAAGGCCUACCAAGGCGACGAUCAGUAUCUGGUCUGAGAGGACGACCAGCCACACUGGGACUGAGACACGGCCCAGACUCCUACGGGAGGCAGCAGUGGGGAAUGUUGGACAAUGGGCGAAAGCCUGAUCCAGCAAUGCCGCGUGCGUGAAGAAGGCCUUCGGGUUGUAAAGCACUUUUGUCCGGAAAGAAAUCCUUGGCCCUAAUACGGUCGGGGGAUGACGGUACCGGAAGAAUAAGCACCGGCUAACUACGUG